UGAGGAAUAUUGGUCAAUGGACGAGAGUCUGAACCAGCCAAGUAGCGUGCAGGAUGACGGCCCUAUGGGUUGUAAACUGCUUUUGUUUGGGAAUAAUCGACAUUACGUGUAAUGUUUUGCAUGUACCAUUCGAAUAAGGACCGGCUAAUUCCGUGCCAGCAGCCGCGGUAAUACGGAAGGUCCAGGCGUUAUCCGGAUUUAUUGGGUUUAAAGGGAGGGUAGGCGGUUGGUUAAGCGUGUUGUGAAAUGUAGAUGCUCAACAUCUGACUUGCAGCGCGAACUGGCUGACUUGAGUACACACAACGUAGGCGGAAUUCAUGGUGUGGCGGUGAAAUGCUUAGAUAUCAUGAAGAACUCCGAUUGCGAAGGCAGCUUACGGGAGUGUUACUGACGCUUAAGCUCGAAGGUGCGGGUAUCGAACAGG
This 424-nucleotide ribosomal RNA is filed under the name Verrucomicrobiota bacterium. RNAcentral's name for it is "Verrucomicrobia bacterium partial 16S ribosomal RNA". It matches the Rfam family "Bacterial small subunit ribosomal RNA", at positions 355 to 776 of the family's 1533-position model. Lineage: Bacteria; Pseudomonadati; Verrucomicrobiota. The record is from RNAcentral.